Molecule: long non-coding RNA, 588 nt
Filed under: Homo sapiens (human)
Lineage: Eukaryota; Metazoa; Chordata; Mammalia; Primates; Hominidae
Description: non-protein coding lnc-CASP4-3:1
Source: RNAcentral
UGCACCUGCAUCACCUGCAUUGUGCAAGGAAAAAGAGUUUAGGGUCAAAUCAGUCACUCAGUGCUGUGAAGAUUUUGAAGGACUGGAAGAACAACCAGUUGGGUUGUAAUCAUGAGCCUCUUCUAAUCCUAAACUCAAAAAAGAUCUAUCCAAUAAAGGAGAGAAAGGACCGCAUACGCCUGGUUCUCAUCAUAUGCAAUAAAGAGUUUGACCAUCUGCCUCCAAGAAAUGGGGCUGACUUUGCCAUCAUGGAGAUGAAGAAGCUGCUUGAGGAUCUGGGUUACAGUGUGGAUGUAGAAGAGAAUCUGACAGCCAGGAUAACGUGUCCAGGAGAGACAGCACAAGGGGCUCCAUCUUCAUCACACAACUCAUCGCAUGCUUCCAGAGAUAUUCCUGGCGCUGCCACCUAGAGGAAGUAUUUUGGAAGGUUCAGCAAGCAUUUGAAAGUCCGGAGGCAACAGUCCAAAUGCCCACCAUAGAACGAGUGUCCAUGACAAGAUAUUUCUACCUCUUUCCUGGCAAUUGAAAAUGGUUAAGCAUUGAGAGUUGUUGGUGGUGUAUGAAAUAAAUGAAAGUGUGAUAUUGGAG